Molecule: non-coding RNA, 27 nt
Filed under: Homo sapiens (human)
Lineage: Eukaryota; Metazoa; Chordata; Mammalia; Primates; Hominidae
Source: RNAcentral
UGUCAAGAAGACAAUGGCUUCAAAGGA